UCAACCUAGAUCCCUUGCAUGCGUAGUUCACAAUAGUGUUCGCAUGCCUAUGAAAAUCUAAUGCCCCUUGCAGGAGGCAGAGCUCAGGCAGUAAUGCAUGCUUGCCUGCUGCUCACCUCCUACUAUGCAGCCCGGUUCCUAUCAGGCCACAGACCAGUACCAGUCCACAGCCCAGGGGCUGGGGACCCCUGGGGUGUCUUCUGGCUCCUUUGCACUACCUAUGCCACCAGGCUUAGCAGCAGUCCUAGAAACAGGUGUAUCAAGAAGACUCUGCUCCUGGUGGGCUGGGGCUGAGAUGGCAGAGGCCCAUCCCAUCAUAUGCCAGAAAGAGGACACACUUGUGAGUCCAGGACUUGGGACUCUACAGUUUGCAGCUCUGCUCAGACUGGCUUCUGGGCAGCUCCUCACUUUGCCAUUAACUCCUCAGAGUCAAGCCCCAGAUGCCCCUUGGACCAGCCCCACUCCUAAGGUCAUCUGGUCAGGGUCUGCAGGGGUGACGCUUUCACUGACAAAAGGAUUUUAAUUUUGGUCCUAUCCCUAGUGUAGUCCCAGCCAGUCUUUGGUAGUCACCCACUUUUCCUGCUCUGACAGAGAUGGGCCAGCCCCUCCCAUAGGGGCUGCUCCCGGGAAAGGCUCAUCCACAGGCUAGGCCUCUGCCGGGCCUGCUGCCAGCCACUGAGCCUUUGGCGAUUGAGAGCUGACUCCCGACUGAGGUGUAGGCCUCCGUCCAGCCAGCACAAAGGGAGGCACAUCCCUUGCAGCAGUACCCACAGCCCCUGUCACGGCAGGCUGUGGCCAGACCCUGAUUGAGUGGCUCCCUCUCAGCCAUCUGUUCAGUCACCCAGAAACAAGUCAAGUCAAAGCUCCCAGUGAGUUCCUGCCUCAGCCAUUUGGUGUCACAAGGAAAGCCAGGGCGUUGCCACUUCCUGAUUUGGGACAAGAUGUGUAAAUGCAUUGAGCCUCAGACUCCUUAUCUGUAGAACUUGGGGUAAUGAUAACUACUUCAUGGUGUUUUAAGAAUUCCAUGGAAUCACAGAUGGAAAGAGCCUAGAUGUACUAUGCCUGACUCGUUGGAGACUUCACAUAAAAGGGUUUUCAGCUGCUGCCACCCCCAUCUUUUAAGUAUUUUCACAAUUCCAUACACCUGUUCCUGGCAAAAAGAAUUUCAUUCCCUGUUCACUUACUUGAAAACCCCUCUUCUUUUUUUUCGAGAGAGAGGGUCUCACUGUGUUGCCCAGGCUGGAGUGCAAUGGCCAAAUCUCAGCUCACUGCAGCCUCAACCUCCCACGUAGAUGGGACUACAGAUGUGCACCACCAUGCCUGGCUAAUUUUAUUUUUUGUGAGACGAGGUCUGUUGCCCAGGCUGGAGUGCAAUGGCCAAAUCUCAGCUCACUGCAGCCUCAACCUCCCAAGUAGAUGGGACUACAGAUGUGCACCACCAUGCCUGGCUAAUUUUAUUUUUUGUGAGACGAGGUCUCACUGUUGCCUAGGCUGGUCUCGAAUUCCUGGACUCCAGCAAUCCUCCCGCCUUGGCCUCCCAAAGUGCCAGGAUUAAGGCACGAGCCACCACGCCCAGCCUGAAAACCCGUUUUCCUGAGGGAAAACUGUUCUGGAAGUCAACAGCAGAGUCGCUUGCCAGGGCCACUUCUAAUAUUGAUGAGAUUCUGGCCUGUGCUCCCCUCCCUCAUAUCUUGUGUAGCAUUGUGACUAGAGAUUGGGUAAAAAGGGAAGACCUUGCCAAAUGUUGCCCACCUGCUACCCUCUCCGGCUGUCUGCUGACGUUGGCCACUUGAGUCUCUUGUCACUGACUGUGCCCACCCUUGGCCCCUGCCAGCAUCCUCCACACACCUUGCCCACAGGAGGACAGCUGGAGCAGGGCCACAGGGGAGGGCAUGCAAGGGACCUAUCUGACAAGGCCCUGAAACUUCCUUCCCACUGAGGACCCCAGGACUUGACCUAGUCAUCCCCCACUUUGCUGCCAAUACUUUGGGAGCAGGCAGAUGUCCAGGAAGCGUCUGUUCCUCUGUACCCUCCCUGCCAAGGAAGGAGCUUGAGAAAAAUCUCUUGAAGGUAGAGCCCCUGCUUCUGGCCUAGCUCUCCCGGAGGCGCAGGGCUGACGAGUGCCGCCAAGGUAAGACCAGCUCUGGAGUGUGGGAUAUACAGGCCUUCAGUGGCAACACCUGCUCAUUAAUCAAGCCCUUCCUUUCCGGAACCUGCCCUGGCUUGGGAUGGUGGGAAGGAAGGAGAACAGAAUCUGUUCCUCCCUUCCUGGCCCUGCGGUGAGAGGCGCUGACUAGUGUAGGUGGGUGGAGACAGGCCCAUCAGAAGGCCUGAGUGAGGCACCCUCUGUACAUGCAGCACAAGCGGGUGUGGAGUGUGGGGAAGCAUCUAAAGAUCUAGAAAAAUUUGGCAGCAAAGGAAUUUUACCCACACACUGGAGCCCUAGGCUUUGUUUCUAAAAGUUUUUAUUAUUCUUUAGGAAAACUUGGGAAGCACUAGUUUAUGAAAAUUUUUAGAACUUCAUUGCUACAUGGCCUUUCCAAACACAUCCCCAGAUGGUUUCUUUAAAACCAUGCAGUGGGACAAGGUUGAUAUAAACAGUUGUUCCAGCUGAAUCCAACUCACCAAAACGGUGCAGGUGAGGCAAAUUACUUUUGAGACUGCAAGUACUGUAUAUGUCCAUUAACAAAAACACAGUAAAAGACUUUAAGAAAUUGUAAGGACACUGGCUUGACUGAUUCAUGCGGCUGCAAAUCCCUGGGAGCCAAGAUUCAAAGGCAGAAAUGUCUGUGGUGACAGCACCACCACUGCCUUUGUCCAAAUUACAGAUCUGUCACACUCAGAGCUUGCUGCUAGCAUGGGGCUGCCGUCGGCAGCAAAGGGAACUUCAUGGAUCUGUGAGGAGGAACAGCUGAGUUCCUGACUGCCUUUAAUUUUCUCUGAGGCUUUGCUGAGUCACCUAAUCUCUUGGGGCUGUGGUUUUCUCACCUGUAGAAGGAGGGACAGGGCUGAUAUCCCUAGAGUGCCUUUCAGCUCUGGGAUUCACGCAUUCUAAGGAGGGUGGCUAGAGCACAGAACCUCUAAAGAUGUUCAUUCAUUCCUUCAACAAAGUUUACAUGAGCACCUGCCAUGUGCUAAGCACCAGGGCCGACCACUGGCCCAAAAACACAGGCAUCUGCUGGCCUGCCCACUGCAGCAGCAGCCAUACCUUUGCAGGCCGGUGGAGCCCCCCUUUCUACAGCCUGUGGAAAAAAUGGUUCUAAAUUUGCAGAUCCUCUCAUCAAAUCAGGAAGUCAAGAAACAUGAUAGAAUAGAGGAACUGGUCUCAGUUUGCACAGGCCAUCAGUUUCACAAGACAGGAAUCGAAUAUCAACAGUGGCUGAUUAUCACACUCAGGAAUUGAAAAUAAUUAGAAAAAGAGGCAAAGAUGCUGUGGCAAUCAUUGGCUGGUCCCCUUUGGUCUCCAGCACCCAUUCCCCUUUGGUUUAGUAACAGCACCCUAACUUUCCUCCCUAUAUCGUGUGAUAACAGAAGCACUCUCUCCAGGAUACCCUCCCUGAGAGACAGGCAUAUGACCUGAGCCAGCCAAUCAGACUCCUUCCCUGCAAGGAUGCACUAGGUGGACAGCAUGGUGGGAGCAUCUCUCAUCCAGGCAGGGGUGAUCUGUGGGACUGCAGUCAGUCCUGUUGCUUAGAGACCCCAGGACUGCCAUAGCUUCUGUCCUGGACUUGAUUCUCCAGGCUAACAGAGAACCUGACUGAUGCAGAUUCAGGAGAGCUGGUUUGUUUAGUUCUCAGUUCCUUUCAUGAAAUGGCUAUUAUCUCUGCUAGCUACUAUAGCAGAAAUCUGGAAAACAUGAUUUUUCUUGAUUUAUGAAAUUGUUGAUGUUUCUUCAGGAAUUUCCGCCUGCUUCUCAUAAACUGGCAGAAACUUAGAAAUGUUACAUUUCUUAAAGAGAGUCAUUGUAAUUAUUAUCUGAAUAAGAUGAUAGUGUUUUGAAUUUAACGUAAUAAACUCUAUCUCCUGCC
Molecule: long non-coding RNA, 4028 nt
Organism: Homo sapiens (human)
Lineage: Eukaryota; Metazoa; Chordata; Mammalia; Primates; Hominidae
Source: Ensembl